AGAGUUUGAUCCUGGCUCAGGACGAACGCUGGCGGCGUGCUUAACACAUGCAAGUCGAGCGGUAAGGCCCUUUCGGGGGUACACGAGCGGCGAACGGGUGAGUAACACGUGAGCAAUCUGCCCUUCACACAGGGAUAACCUCGGGAAACCGAUGCUAAUACCUGAUACGACCACUUCAGGCAUCUGAUGGUGGUGGAAAGUUCCGGCGGUGAAGGAUGAGCUCGCGGCCUAUCAGCUUGUUGGUGGGGUAAUGGCCUACCAAGGCAACGACGGGUAGCCGGCCUGAGAGGGUGACCGGCCACACUGGGACUGAGACACGGCCCAGACUCCUACGGGAGGCAGCAGUGGGGAAUAUUGGACAAUGGGCGAAAGCCUGAUCCAGCAACGCCGCGUGAGGGAUGACGGCCUUCGGGUUGUAAACCUCUUUCAGCAGGGACGAAGCGCAAGUGACGGUACCUGCAGAAGAAGCACCGGCCAACUACGUGCCAGCAGCCGCGGUAAUACGUAGGGUGCGAGCGUUGUCCGGAAUUAUUGGGCGUAAAGGGCUCGUAGGCGGUUUGUCGCGUCGGGAGUGAAAACUCAGGGCUUAACCCUGAGCCUGCUUCCGAUACGGGCAGACUAGAGGUAUGCAGGGGAGAACGGAAUUCCUGGUGUAGCGGUGAAAUGCGCAGAUAUCAGGAGGAACACCGGUGGCGAAGGCGGUUCUCUGGGCAUUACCUGACGCUGAGGAGCGAAAGUGUGGGGAGCGAACAGGAUUAGAUACCCUGGUAGUCCACACCGUAAACGUUGGGCGCUAGGUGUGGGACUCAUUCCACGAGUUCCGUGCCGCAGCUAACGCAUUAAGCGCCCCGCCUGGGGAGUACGGCCGCAAGGCUAAAACUCAAAUGAAUUGACGG
RNAcentral lists this ribosomal RNA (896 nucleotides) under uncultured bacterium. RNAcentral describes it as "bacterial SSU rRNA". It matches the Rfam family "Bacterial small subunit ribosomal RNA", at positions 8 to 916 of the family's 1533-position model. The record is from RNAcentral.